AUAUAUAUAUAUAUAUGUAUGUUUAGGUGAAUGUAUGUGUCUCACAAGACGCACAAAAAGGGAUAAAGUAAGGGUGUGCAAAAGUAUCCAAAGUAAAAAUACAAUUCUAAGCCGACAAGGGAUUCCGUAAGUCCGUAAUAUGGUGAAACGCGACGAUUUUCCUCGAAUGCGAAGACAUUUUUCGAGUUUACACACUGUCUGAAAUACAUAUCUUUUCUACCGAGGAGAGUGUACUCUCCUGUUUUUCCUGGAAUGUGAACGCUACUAAAGAAACGAAUCAAACGACAUUACUACACACUGCGACAAUUCCCAUUGCGAUAUAUAUAUGUAUACAAAUUUAUUAUACAUGUAUAUGGAUAUAUGUAUAUAUAUAUUUAUUUAUUUAUUUAUUUACUUAUUUACUAUGUAUGCAUGAACAUGGAUGUAUGAACUCGUUUAAUAUUUAUAACGAAGCAGAAUAGGUGUAAUGACAGUAAGCUCGAGUGAGUACGGGUUUGCCAAUCAGCUAAUGGAAGUGGUGCGCUUGUCAUAAAUGCACAUUGCCAAAAAGUUCUCCAUAUGAAAUUAGUCCGCUUUGGAUAGCUUUGCUAACGGAAAGUAAUAACAUAAAUCCCAUACGAUAUUAAUAUAAAUGAAUUACAAAAGGAAAUAAUAAAAAGACUUACGUAUCUGAUCUUUUUCUUUUGUUUCAUUUUUUUUUUUCUUUUUUUGUUUUUUUCUUGUAAUUUUUUCUUCCACUUCCAUAGAGAUAUUCGUUUGCGGUCGAUCUUUUUUUUUUUCUUUUUUAAAUAAUCGAUCAUCUUGAUUAUUACGCGUCGUGUAAUCGUUUAUUCGAACGUGUUUCAAAUAGAUUGGCUAUCCAAGCAAUGGCGAACGUGAAAGAGAAUGGAGGAAAUAUAGACUGAACAGAAAAAAAAAAAAAAAAAAAAAAAAAAAAAGAAAAGAACGCAAGAAAUAUACGAACUAAUGAAAGACAAGUGACCGAUCUUAGAAGCUUGUUUGUUCUUCUCUUAGAUGUAUCAGGACACUUUUGAACAUUUCUCAUAGACAUCCCUGUGAGAUUAUUUUUCCCGUGAUAUUUUUAUAAUCUUCGUGAUUUAACGUUAAAAAAAUGAUAAAUAUAUAUAUAUAUAUAUGUAUAUAUGUGUUUAAAAAAAUUGAUCACGAAGAGUAUAAAGUAUAGGGUGAGAUUAAUACGAGUUAGCAUAAAAAAAAUUGCAAAAACCUUUGGAAAAAUUUUAAUGGAAAUUGAUAAUAUUUAACGAAAAUUUGCAAUGACGAACUACAGAAAUAAAAUGGUUUCGUUUCGUGGCUGCUCACUCGGUUCGUGUUCCGUUAAGUGGGUGGGGCUCCACAGCUCUCUCUCUCUCUCUCUCUCUCUCUCUCUCUCUCUCUCUCUCUCUCUCUCUCUCUCUUUCACACACAUACACACUUUCGUCUGGAGCUCUGCCGAUCGAUAAACAGUCCGAAUCAAAAUUCUCGAGGAAGACCUUAGCAGCGAUGAUGAAAUAUCGUCUAUCCUCAUAAAAGAUCCUAACGAAACUCGAAAACUAGUUUGUUGUAUAUAUAUAUCUAUAUGUGUGUGUAUGUGUGUGUGUAUAUAUAUAUAUAUAUAGAUAAAAUUUCCUGGCUGGCAGUAGAUGAAAGAGAAUUUACGAUAGGGGAUAAUAUAACUUGUUCCUUUAUACCUCAUAUUUUUUGAUCCAUCUCAAAGACACAGAACAAAGAUAAAAAGAAAGAAAGAAAGAAAGAAAGAAAGAAAGAAUGAAAGGAGAAAGAAUGAAGGAGAAAAAUCGAUAUUUUUUAAACAUUAUCUUUAUCGUAUCGUAAUUAGAUCCAUUUUUUAUAUUCUCUUCUCUUUGGAAUUUAACCUACGAUAAUGAUUUUACAAUGCUAUAUGAAGGAGGGAGGGGGAAAUGGAUGGACGAGUAUAUAUAUAUAUAUAUAUGGAUGAGUGGUCAAUUGGAAAUUUGCUUAGCUUGUAAAUUAAGAGGCGACGCGAUGGGAACCACUUCAUUUUAAAUAUAACGAUUUUACUUUACAACGACGACGUUUUAUUUAGUGAAAAAUUAUCGUUGGAAUAAAUAUUAAAAAAGAUGUACGACAAAGCGAUUAAAAUAAAAAAUAUAUACGUGGAA
Molecule: long non-coding RNA, 2138 nt
Organism: Vespa velutina
Lineage: Eukaryota; Metazoa; Arthropoda; Insecta; Hymenoptera; Vespidae
Exons: 2
Source: RefSeq, a predicted model, not a curated record